This 895-nucleotide long non-coding RNA is filed under the name Homo sapiens (human). Its description in RNAcentral is "non-protein coding EWSAT1:20". The record is from RNAcentral. Lineage: Eukaryota; Metazoa; Chordata; Mammalia; Primates; Hominidae.
AGCAGAGCUCAGGCCACAGCACCUGCACCCGUUUUCUGCUGCUGCACACAAGGGCUCUGUGCAUUCCGCAUCCAGGUGUGCCCCUCCUCUUCUGGAGGAUUCUUUUUCAGGCUGUCCCAGAGACUUUGCAGCACAGCAUCCUUGCUCUAUUUCUUCCUGCAACAUCUCUGCUGAAGCUCUAUUGCUUUUGGCAACUCUUCCGUCUAUUUUGUGGUUUAGGUGUCUCCUACUUUUACUAAAAAUGGAAUUUGUGUUUUUAUCGCUCAAGUCCUUUUUGCUUUUGGAUUACUUCCAGAAAAUGAAGGGAGGGUUACUAACUUUAUGCCAUCUUCAAACCAGAAGAUCUUAGAUUAGUAAGAUCAUGUUGGCCAUGGCAUGGAGAAUGGGCUGGAGGUGGAGAGACUGGAGGUUGGAAGUCCAGUUAGGAGAUUGCUCCUGCGCUGGGGAGUUGGUGUUAGGACAGAAGAUCCAAGACGCGUUUCAGAGAGCCCCUCUUCUUGGGCCUGCGAUUCCUCACCUGGAAGGGAGAAGAGUGGACUUCCUGCCUAGAGAACACCUUGGUAAACUCUUUGUGGUUCCUGUCAUGAGAAGGUGUGCAGCUUAGGGAAAAAGCCUGUGAGCUCUGGAAUCAGAUGGAACUGGAUAUGAAUUUCCAUUUAGUGCUUGUUGGAUUAAAUGUGAUGCUAUGGCUCCCUUUGAAGAACUGCCUUGGGGUUCAUGUUGCAGCAUCAAACAGGGAUGGAAGAUGCAUCUUGCUUUAGCAGCAGGAGCCUGGAAAGCAGCUGAAGCCCUGGAGGGUGCCUGGCACACAGAAUCUUGUGCUGAGCCCGGAGCACAAUGGGAGCGGGCUGGCGGGGUGGGUUCACAGCUGGACUGGGAGCAGCAGACAUACAGG